GAUGAACGCUAGCGGCAGGCCUAACACAUGCAAGUCGAGGGAGAAGCCCUUUCGGGGGCAGAAACCGGCGCACGGGUGCGUAACGCGUAUGCAACCUACCUUUCACAGGGGGAUAGCCCGAAGAAAUUUGGAUUAAUACCCCAUAAUAUUAUUGGAUGGCAUCAUUUGAUAAUUAAAACUGCGGUGGUGAAAGAUGGGCAUGCGUCCUAUUAGCUAGUUGGAGUGGUAACGGCACCCCAAGGCUACGAUAGGUAGGGGUCCUGAGAGGGAGAUCCCCCACACUGGUACUGAGACAGGGACCAGACUCCUACGGGAGGCAGCAGUGAGGAAUAUUGGUCAAUGGUCGGAAGACUGAACCAGCCAUGCCGCGUGCAGGAAGAAUGCCUUAUGGGUUGUAAACUGCUUUAUAUGGAAGAAUAAGGCGUACGUGUACGUGAGACGGUACC
Molecule: ribosomal RNA, 446 nt
Filed under: Capnocytophaga gingivalis
Lineage: Bacteria; Pseudomonadati; Bacteroidota; Flavobacteriia; Flavobacteriales; Flavobacteriaceae
Description: bacterial SSU rRNA
Rfam family: Bacterial small subunit ribosomal RNA
Source: RNAcentral